RNAcentral lists this ribosomal RNA (282 nucleotides) under Pseudoalteromonas sp. S4488. RNAcentral's name for it is "partial 23S ribosomal RNA". It matches the Rfam family "Bacterial large subunit ribosomal RNA", at positions 577 to 864 of the family's 2925-position model. The record is from RNAcentral. Lineage: Bacteria; Pseudomonadati; Pseudomonadota; Gammaproteobacteria; Alteromonadales; Pseudoalteromonadaceae.
GAGCGCUUCGAGGGUGACUGCGUACCUUUUGUAUAAUGGGUCAGCGACUUAUAUUUUGUAGCGAGGUUAACCGAUUAGGGUAGCCGUAGGGAAACCGAGUCUUAACUGGGCGUAUAGUUGCAAGGUAUAGACCCGAAACCCGGUGAUCUAGCCAUGGGCAGGUUGAAGGUUGAGUAACAUCAACUGGAGGACCGAACCCACUAACGUUGAAAAGUUAGGGGAUGACCUGUGGCUAGGAGUGAAAGGCUAAUCAAACCGGGAGAUAGCUGGUUCUCCCCGAAA